Molecule: long non-coding RNA, 1185 nt
Filed under: Nicotiana benthamiana
Lineage: Eukaryota; Viridiplantae; Streptophyta; Magnoliopsida; Solanales; Solanaceae
Description: long non-coding RNA (NBEN_LNC010448)
Source: RNAcentral
CCGGUAGUGGUUAUGGGGGCUGGAGGCGUAAGAUGAUUGUUGCUUUAUAUGCUAAAAACAAAAUCGGAUUUGUUGAUGGUUCAUGUCCUCGUCCUACCACUAAUGUGGCUCAACAGAGACUGUGGGAUAGAUGUAAUAACAUGGUCAUUUCCUGGCUGACCUCCUCCCUGUCUCCUCAAAUUGCCACUUGCUCCCGACCAGCCACUAAUGUGGAUUAACAAAGAUUAUGGGAUAGGUGUAAUAACAUGGUGAUUUCCUAGUUAACUGCCUCCCUCUCCCCUCAAAUUGCUGAAAGUGUGCAGUAUUCUGAUACUGCACAGAGCAUAUGGUCCCAACUCUAGGCCAGAUAUGGCACUACAAACAGGACUAAAAUCUUUGAAUUGAAAAGACACCUCCCAAGGAUCCUUAGAUGUAGCUUCAUAUUUUAAUAAGCUCAAAGGUCUGUGGGAUGAACUAGAAUCAAUGUGUGUUAAUCAUGGUCAAAGAUGUGUUUGUGCUGCCAAAGAUGGUAUAAUACAGGAAAGUGAUGACUAGAAUCAAUGUGUGUUAAUCAUGGCCAAAGAUGUGUUUGUGCUGCCAAAGAUGGUAUUAUACAGGAAAGUGAUGAAAAUAAGGUGUUUCUGUUUCUAAUGGGUCUUAAUGAAGCAUACAUGGGAGUAAGGAGUAAUCUUUUGAUGAUGCAGCCUCCUCCAACCCUUGACAAUGUCUAUAAUAUGGUCCUCAAUGAUGAGAAGCAAAGACAAGUCUAGUCUUGCAGCCUCCUCCAACCCUUGACAAUGUCUAUAAUAUGGUCCUCAAUGAUGAGAAGCAAAGACAAGUCCAGUAUCCUUCUCACUUUAAUCCAGACUCUGUCUCUUUCAAUGUCCACACUAAUAGGCAUUCAGUUGGAUUUAACAAGGCCACAGUGCCUAAUCCUUCUCCUCCUUUCAGACAAAGAGUCAAUUUUGAUCAAGCCAGAUGACCUUUAGUCUGUAGAUACUGUAAAAAAUCUGGACACUUAAUUGAUAAGUGUUUCAAGAUCCAUGGGUAUCCACGAAGUACAAAUUUUAACAAGGGGAGGAGACCUGCUACUGCUCAUCUUACUGCUGGUCUGGAUUUCUCUCAUUCUGAAGGACAUAUGUUUGUUCCCCAAGGGAAUCCUCCUGAAAGCCAUCAAUCUGUUCCAAAAAUAGAUGGCCAGAGUUC